RNAcentral lists this long non-coding RNA (1972 nucleotides) under Monodelphis domestica (gray short-tailed opossum). RNAcentral describes it as "lncRNA (ENSMODG00000033566.2)". The record is from RNAcentral. Lineage: Eukaryota; Metazoa; Chordata; Mammalia; Didelphimorphia; Didelphidae.
GAUUCCACAAAUCCAUCUGUGUACACUCCCUCGUGCCUUGUCCAUAGAAGAGGCAUAACAGUAAUAGUUAUUACAGCUAGCAUUUAUAUAGGGCUCUAAAGUUUGCAAAGUAUCUCAAUUGAUCUUCACCUCAAUCCCAGGAGAUACUAGAUACUAUUAUUGUGCCCAUUUUAUAGUUAAGGAAACUGAAGUAAGCAAAGAUUAAGUGCCUUCCUUCUUCCAGAUCUUGUAGCGACUCUCUGAGGCUGGAUUUGAACUCAGCCUUCCCGAGUCUAGCCAGAAAGCUUUCUAUCCGCUGUACUAUGUAGCUGCUUAUUAAUGCUGUAAUUCAUGAAUGCUUCUGAACUGACUGAUGAUUAAUUGAUAUGAGUUCAUAGAUCCCCACUAGGUAAUGAGGACAACCUAACCUAGUUUAUGUGCAAAGAGCCCCAGGAGUACCUGAGUGAAGAGAAGAUGAGAAUUAGGACAUUCACAAACAGAGGCAAAGCGAAGCCACCCAAGGGGACAGCCGUGGAGAAAGUGGAUCUUUCUCCAUGUCCUGGCCACGUCCAUGAAUCACUGUGGUAGGUAAGGCAGAAGGAAGACUAUAUUUGGCAUCCGAAUACAAGAGUUCAAUGACUGACUCUGACAUCUGCUCUUUGAGUGAUCACGAACAUGAAGUCACAGAGGCACAAAGGAGGAUGACAUGGCUGGGAAUGGGGAGAGAGGCAUGAUGGAGGGAUUCCCUAGACCCGGGCAGCAGAGGUGAGACCUCUCAGGAGUGGCCCAAUGGUCCUGCCCAGGCUUCAGGUUGAGCAGAUGGCAGAAGUUCUGGGAGGUCAAUGCUUGGCAUCAUUGCAGGGUACCAGAAGCAUUGGCAUCAAGAAAUAAAAAGAACAUAUUCUGCUAGUCAUCUGAAACUAAAAGGGGAAAUUGAAGAAAGAACGUGUCAUUUGUUGGAAUUUCCUCCAAUCCUGGAACAGCUCAAAUAUCAAGAAAGACCCAGAUCUCUGUCAUGGCUAAAAAGGAAGUACUUGUCCCCUGAACUACACAUCCCAAGAUGCCAAUCAGUUCUCAAAUAAAGAAAAAGCAAAACGAGUCCCUUCCCUCAAAGAUGCUACAUUCUAAUGUAGUAGACAAGAUAUGUAAAUCAGUACAUAUGAGAUAGGAAAAAUGGAAAGUAAUCUUGGAGGAGAUUAGAUUAGCAGCUCCUCAAUAGGCUCUAGCCUGCCUCUACCAGGCAUACUGUAAAUUCUAACCAAGAGGAGACAAAGCCAAGAUGAUAGCAUAUCAGGAAGAAGUACAGCGAAGCUCUCUUCUAUAUAGAUUUAUAAAAUACAUCCAACUGAGCCUUAAUGAGAAAAUCUAAGGAGCAAAAAGAGUAGUGAAUCGUUUUUCCAGGGAGACAGACAGAAAUAGGGAUGGUAUUUGUCCAGGACUGUGCUCCUUGUAGCAUUAUAACACAGGGAGAGGCUAUGCACAAGGAUAAGAAGAGUCCCAGACCCAUUACCAAGUAGCCCUACCCUUAAUUACAGCAAUUAGGAAUAGUUGCCUACUGUCAGCUCUGUCACUUACUAUCCAAUUCUAGGUCACAGAUCUAGAAUGGCCUGAGAAGGGCUCCUGGUCCUAAAAGAUGUGGUACACAGUAAAUAAGGAGCAGUCUCAAACAUUAGGCUCAGGCCUGAAGAAGGAUUAAGUUCAAAAGUCAGCAGUUCUGUGGCUCUGACACUACAAAUGAAUUUGAGUCUCAGUUUCAGCCUCCAGCUCAAUUUGAAACCUGCAUUGGAAUAACCAAAGCAGACAUCUUAGAACAAAGGUAAGACAGCACUUUUGUCAUUUUAAACCAGCAGAGCUUUCCAGUUUGUUAAUGGUGGCUGAAUCUAGCAGCAGUCUUCAGGAACUCCAACCAGGGGCAAGCCCAUAAAAGUAUUGCUCUCAAAACCAAACCCAAAUCAGGAACUCUCAGAACUCAAGUCAGGAACAAUGAUUAUAU